AGAUUAGGGUGAAGAUCAUACGUUUGUGGAAACAGUAUUCUGCGGCUGGUGGCCUAACGAUUGAGAUUGUUCUAAUCGAUUCUAACGUAGGCAAAUCGAUGUCCACAUUAAACUUAUACAAUUCCAUCCUAUAACCAAAUCUAUGUCCAUAUUAAACAUUCCUAAUGUCUUUUUAUCUUAUAAAUAAUAAAAUUAAUAAUCUCAUUCUACGCAUGGCACGGGUUACCUAGUGCAUGAUAUAACCAGUGUUUUACCCUAAAAUAAAAGCAUCAAUCCCUGAUCAGAACAAAAACCUCCCGAAAACAAGUUUCCACUUGAAUUUAAUUGGAAAAAAGAGACACUUAGAACUUGAGUUUGUCCCCAUAAGAUUUUGUCUAAAAAUUUUUUUGUCUAAUUAGGAAUUUAAUUAUUGUUAAUACGAUUAUACCCUCAGAUUAAUCAAAAUUCAACUUAAUUAAAAUACAUAAUACAAUAUUUGUUAAUUAUUUUGUAAAUACAAUUUUACAUAUUUUAAGGAAAGAUACACUACAAAAAAGAGAAACACACGUUAACCUAAUUUUUAACCCUCUUCUAUCGUCUUCUUCUCUGAGAGCUUUCUUUUAUUUUCAAUGGCUACUUUUUGGUCUUCUUGUUCACAUGGUUAAAAAUUCUCCGUCUCUGUUUUCUAUUUCUUCUUCUUUGCUCUUUAUUUUUCUUCGUCGUUUUGUUGUCUCGACUCAGUUAUGUACUCCGUCAUCAAUUGCAUCAAAAUCCUACGAUUCUUCGCACACGGUUUCUCAUGGUGCUAUUCAGUUCAGAACGUAUGAGGAACUCCCUAAAGUCAGUGGGGAGUUCAAAGAAAGGAGAAGAAAGUCAUUGUGGAUUAUGCUUGAGAUUUUGUUAGAUGCUCUUUGUAAAGGACAUGUUAGAUAAGCUUCAAUGUAUAUAGAGAGAAGA
Molecule: long non-coding RNA, 936 nt
Organism: Brassica napus (rape)
Lineage: Eukaryota; Viridiplantae; Streptophyta; Magnoliopsida; Brassicales; Brassicaceae
Exons: 2
Source: RefSeq, a predicted model, not a curated record